Molecule: ribosomal RNA, 250 nt
Filed under: uncultured bacterium
Lineage: Bacteria
Also listed under: 1 other name
Description: partial 16S ribosomal RNA
Rfam family: Bacterial small subunit ribosomal RNA
Source: RNAcentral
UACGGAGGGUGCAAGCGUUGUCCGGAAUUACUGGGCGUAAAGAGCACGUAGGCGGUCUCUUAAGUCAGAUGUGAAAUAUGCCGGCUCAACCGGGAGGGUGCAUUUGAAACCGAAAGACUUGAGUAUUGGAGAGGCAAGUGGAAUUCCUAGUGUAGCGGUGAAAUGCGUAGAUAUUAGGAGGAACACCAGUGGCGAAGGCGGCUUUCUGGACUGUAACUGACGCUGAGGUGCGAAAGCCAGGGGAGCAAAC